This 57-nucleotide ribosomal RNA is filed under the name uncultured Synechococcus sp. RNAcentral describes it as "partial 23S ribosomal RNA". Lineage: Bacteria; Bacillati; Cyanobacteriota; Cyanophyceae; Synechococcales; Synechococcaceae. The record is from RNAcentral.
GGUCAAGCUACAAAAGGGCUCACGGGUGGAUACCUUGGCACACAGAGGCGAUGAAGG